This 21-nucleotide microRNA is filed under the name Ectocarpus siliculosus. Its description in RNAcentral is "esi-miR3461-3p". The record is from miRBase by way of RNAcentral. Lineage: Eukaryota; Phaeophyceae; Ectocarpales; Ectocarpaceae.
UCCGACCUCGCUGUAGGAGAA